Molecule: long non-coding RNA, 1478 nt
Organism: Arabidopsis lyrata subsp. lyrata
Lineage: Eukaryota; Viridiplantae; Streptophyta; Magnoliopsida; Brassicales; Brassicaceae
Exons: 2
Source: RefSeq, a predicted model, not a curated record
CCAAUUUUUUAUCUUUCAGAUUUUAAAACAAUUAAAUUUUAAUUAUCCUUAAAUAAAACAAAAAAUAAAUGUCGAGAAAACCUUUCUCCCACAACCGCAUCCCCUUUUUCUCCCACGAUUUCAAAAUCGAUCUCCACUUCUCAACAAUGGAACUACAAAAAGGUUUCAGAUCUCUCAAAAUCAAUAUUCCUUUCAUACUACUUCUCACCCUUAUUCCCCGAUUUCUGAGAUCAAAAACCAAUGAUUUCUCAAUUUCUCAAUCAAUUGAACGGUGUUAUUCAUUAGAACGGUGUAUUUCUCAAUUUCUCCCUAUCUCUACUGAGCUUCCGUCGUUUGAUUUGAAUCAAAAGUAAGCUUUUCAACUAUUUUAGAUUAUGAACCAAAAACCAUCACUCUAAUCUUCUCCAACCUCAUCUCAAUCAAAGUAUACUCCGCUGGAGAAGUUUGGGCUAUCAUACAAAAAGCUUUUAGAUCUCUUCCUUUUCUGAUUCGUGUUUCCUCCAGCUCUAAUCGGGUAAAAUUUUUUAAUUUCUUACAUGUUCUGAUUUUAGGGUUCAUCAAUAGAAUCUCUCUUCUAACUGCAAGCACUACUUCUAUAUCAAAAUCUUUCAAUAUACAAAUUCUAUGUUCGAAUUUCUCAAUUUUGGUUUACUUUGUCAUCAUCGUUUUUAAUGCCCAUCCAAUUUUCUAUUUCAUGUGUUGUUGUGUUCUUAUCACUUGUACAAACUCUCAUGUAAAUUUUAAUGUAUUCACAGUCUUUACUAAUUUUAUAACAACUCUGUUACAAGUUUUACGUUUAGUUUUGAAACAGGGAAGUAGGAUACAAGCUUCUGUAAAAGAGAAAUUAUUGAGCCGUCUCUCUUGAAAUUUCCAGCAUUGGACGAAUAUAAAACAAUAACCUCAAAUCUCUCUGGAUGGCAAAAACAUUGAAGGUGACGGUUUAGCGUCAGCCUUCGUGGUGCCUGUGUGAGGGAGUUCACCAAUAUGACGUUAACUUCCCAUGUGACGGAUCUUUACCCGCUAAGUUUGGUCCACCUAAACGCCGGUAUGAUAUCAUCAAAUCUUUGGCUAUGCUUUGGUGAAUUUAGAAGACGAGAGUUUGGAGAAUGAAGUUUGGAAUAUAAUUUCGUAUAGAAGCAACACAAAAAUGAAGUUUUGAAGUCUUGCAAUUCAAAAGAAAAGAAAAAAAAAACAAUCUGAAAGAUGGGUGCAUGAUGUGGAAUCAUCUUCCACGGUGAAGUGUGAAGAAUUUAAACGUGCAAUCAUCUAAUAUAUAUGUUCAAGAUCCUUUUGAGUAAGAUAUACAAUAUACAAAGGUAAAGGGCUUUUGUUUGUUCGAUCGCUCAUUUAUGUCUUACAAUACGUUUGCGUAUUUAUGUAAGACCCUUGGCAAUUUCAUAAUGCAAUGAAUGUUUCCUCAAAAUUUUGUCGCUCAUAUGUGACGAUUUGGUAAUAUUAUGAUACAGCUUUGGAUGUAA